CGAGGUGAGAGUCUUCUGGACUCGCCGAAUUGCUCAGUAACACGUAGUUAACUUACUCUUAGGUGGAGGAUAAUCCUGGGAAACUGGGGCUAAUACUCCAUAGGUUUUAGAUACUGGAAUGUGCUAAAGCCAAAAGAUUUAUCGCCUAAGAAUAGGACUGCGGCGUAUUAGGCAGUUGUAAGUGUAAUGUACUUACAAGCCGGUAAUGCGUAGGGGCCAUGAGAGUGGGAGCCCCGAGUUGCACUCUGAGACAUGAGUGCAGAUCCUACGGGAUGCAGCAGUUGCGAAACCUUUCCAAUUCGUUAGCGCGUGAGAAGGGAACCCUGAGUGGGCAUACAUAGUAUGUCCUUUUUUCAAGUCUAAAUCGCUUGUAGAAUAAGUGGUGGGUAAUACAGGUGCCAGCCGCCGCGGUAAUACCUGAGCCACAAAUGGUGAUCACGUUUAUUGGGUUUAAAGUGCCCGUAGGCGGUUUAGCAAGUUCUUGGUGAAAUCUGAUAGCAAACUAUCAGGCAUGCCGGGAAAACUACUAGACUUGGGACCGGGAAAGGACAGGGGUAUUCCAUGGGUAGGGGUUAAAUCCUUUAAUCCAUGGAGGACCACCAGUGGCGAAGGCGCCUGUCUGGAACGGGUCUGACGCUGAGGGACGAAAGCGUGGGGAGCAAAUCUAAUCCUUCGAUCGCAAGAUUGCGAGGAUGAGAGUUCAAAACGGAUUAGAUACCCGUGUAGUCCACGCUGUAAACGUUGUCUGUUUGAUAUUGCAGUUUUUUCGUGAAAUUGCAGUGUCGGAGCGAAAGUGUUAAACAGACUACCUGGGGAGUACGUGCGCAAGCAUGAAACUUAAGGGAAUUGGCGGGGGAGCACACAAGAGGUGGAGACUGUGGUUCAAUUGGAUUCAACGCCGGA
Molecule: ribosomal RNA, 903 nt
Filed under: uncultured Candidatus Aenigmarchaeum sp.
Lineage: Archaea; Nanobdellati; Candidatus Aenigmatarchaeota; Candidatus Aenigmatarchaeia; Candidatus Aenigmatarchaeales; Candidatus Aenigmatarchaeaceae
Description: bacterial SSU rRNA
Rfam family: Archaeal small subunit ribosomal RNA
Source: RNAcentral